Molecule: ribosomal RNA, 327 nt
Filed under: uncultured eukaryote
Lineage: Eukaryota
Description: partial 18S ribosomal RNA
Rfam family: Eukaryotic small subunit ribosomal RNA
Source: RNAcentral
CCCUUAGAUGUCCGGGGCCGCACGCGCGCUACAAUGACAGUAUAAAUGGGUAUUAAAACCUGGUUUGAAAGAACUGGGAAACCCUUGAAAUACCGUCUCAUCAGGGAUUGAGAUUUGUAAUUAUUUCUCAUGAACGAGGAAUUCCUAGUAGGCGCAAGUCAUCAGCUUGCGCCGAUUACGUCCCUGCCCUUUGUACACACCGCCCGUCGCUACUACCGAUUGAAUGGUUUAGUGAGGAUAUCGGAUUGAGUCUAAGUAGGGGUAACUCUACUAUGAUUUAAAAAGAUAUUCAAACUUGAUCAUUUAGAGGAAGUAAAANUCGUAACA